Molecule: ribosomal RNA, 274 nt
Filed under: uncultured bacterium
Lineage: Bacteria
Description: partial 16S ribosomal RNA
Rfam family: Bacterial small subunit ribosomal RNA
Source: RNAcentral
UACAGAGGGUGCGAGCGUUAUCCGGAAUGAUUGGGCGUAAAGCGUCUGUAGGUGGUUUAUGAAGUCUAAUGUUAAAUGCCAGGGCUCAACCUUGGGAAGGCAUUGGAGAACUCAUAGGCUAGAGUGCGGUAGAGGCAGAGGGAACUUCCAGUGAAGCAGUGAAAUGCGUAGAGAUUGGGAAGAACACCAGAGGCGAAAGCGCUCUGCUGGGCCGAGACUGACACUGAGAGACGAAAGCUAGGGUAGCGAAUGGGAUUAGAUACCCCAGUAGUCC